This 1225-nucleotide ribosomal RNA is filed under the name Leuconostoc carnosum. RNAcentral describes it as "bacterial SSU rRNA". It matches the Rfam family "Bacterial small subunit ribosomal RNA", at positions 241 to 1459 of the family's 1533-position model. Lineage: Bacteria; Bacillati; Bacillota; Bacilli; Lactobacillales; Lactobacillaceae. The record is from RNAcentral.
UUAGUUAGUUGGUGGGGUAAAGGCCUACCAAGACAAUGAUGCAUAGCCGAGUUGAGAGACUGAUCGGCCACAUUGGGACUGAGACACGGCCCAAACUCCUACGGGAGGCUGCAGUAGGGAAUCUUCCACAAUGGGCGAAAGCCUGAUGGAGCAACGCCGCGUGUGUGAUGAAGGCUUUCGGGUCGUAAAGCACUGUUGUAUGGGAAGAAAAGUUAAGGUAGGGAAUGACCUUAGCCUGACGGUACCAUACCAGAAAGGGACGGCUAAAUACGUGCCAGCAGCCGCGGUAAUACGUAUGUCCCGAGCGUUAUCCGGAUUUAUUGGGCGUAAAGCGAGCGCAGACGGUUGGUUAAGUCUGAUGUGAAAGCCCGGAGCUCAACUCCGGAAAGGCAUUGGAAACUGGUUAACUUGAGUGCAGUAGAGGUAAGUGGAACUCCAUGUGUAGCGGUGGAAUGCGUAGAUAUAUGGAAGAACACCAGCGGCGAAGGCGGCUUACUGGACUGUAACUGACGUUGAGGCUCGAAAGUGUGGGUAGCAAACAGGAUUAGAUACCCUGGUAGUCCACACCGUAAACGAUGAACACUAGGUGUUAGGAGGUUUCCGCCUCUUAGUGCCGAAGCUAACGCAUUAAGUGUUCCGCCUGGGGAGUACGACCGCAAGGUUGAAACUCAAAGGAAUUGACGGGGACCCGCACAAGCGGUGGAGCAUGUGGUUUAAUUCGAAGCAACGCGAAGAACCUUACCAGGUCUUGACAUCCUUUGAAGCUUUUAGAAAUAGAAGUGUUCUCUUCGGAGACAAAGUGACAGGUGGUGCAUGGUCGUCGUCAGCUCGUGUCGUGAGAUGUUGGGUUAAGUCCCGCAACGAGCGCAACCCUUAUUGUUAGUUGCCAGCAUUCAGAUGGGCACUCUAGCGAGACUGCCGGUGACAAACCGGAGGAAGGCGGGGACGACGUCAGAUCAUCAUGCCCCUUAUGACCUGGGCUACACACGUGCUACAAUGGCGUAUACAACGAGUUGCCAACCUGCGAAGGUGAGCUAAUCUCUUAAAGUACGUCUCAGUUCGGACUGCAGUCUGCAACUCGACUGCACGAAGUCGGAAUCGCUAGUAAUCGCGGAUCAGCACGCCGCGGUGAAUACGUUCCCGGGUCUUGUACACACCGCCCGUCACACCAUGGAAGUUUGUAAUGCCCAAAGCCGGUGGCCUAACCGUAAGGAGGAACCGUCUA